Molecule: long non-coding RNA, 266 nt
Organism: Daphnia carinata
Lineage: Eukaryota; Metazoa; Arthropoda; Branchiopoda; Diplostraca; Daphniidae
Exons: 3
Source: RefSeq, a predicted model, not a curated record
CAUGCAUCAAUCGUUCUCUUCUCUUUCAGCCCUCAUCGCAAGAAGAACUCGCUUGUUGGAAUGAGGGAAGAAAUAAUUUUGGAGACAAAGCAUACCUCAGGACUUUGGCCGUAAAAGCUUGGCAGUUCCAUUAUCCAAGUGGGAUCUGGAAAAAGCAUUUUUCUUCAACAAAACAAGGAUUUUUCUUUUUUAAAGGUGAAUAGAAUUUUAAGUUUCAUUAAUGUUUUCUGAUUCUUAGUUUGAAAAAUAAAUUAUGUUCAACUGAA